RNAcentral lists this ribosomal RNA (253 nucleotides) under uncultured bacterium. RNAcentral describes it as "partial 16S ribosomal RNA". It matches the Rfam family "Bacterial small subunit ribosomal RNA", at positions 524 to 776 of the family's 1533-position model. The record is from RNAcentral.
UACGUAGGGUGCAAGCGUUGUCCGGAAUUAUUGGGCGUAAAGAGCUCGUAGGCGGUUUGUUGCGUCGGCCGUGAAAUCCCGAGGCUCAACCUCGGGUCUGCAGUCGAUACGAGCAAACUAGAGUGUUGCAGGGGAGACUGGAAUUCCUGGUGUAGCGGUGAAAUGCGCAGAUAUCAGGAGGAACACCGGUGGCGAAGGCGGGUCUCUGGGCAACAACUGACGCUGAGGAGCGAAAGCGUGGGGAGCGAACAGG